AUGCCAAUACAAGUUCCAAGAGGGUAGGAUGCUUUCCCUGUUUUUCUUCAUCUAUGCUCACAAUACCUAGAACAGAAGAUGACACAGGUAUGUGCCCAAUGGGUGGUAUGUCCUCUUUCUUCAUGUCACCAGAUGGGAUGGCUACUUUGUGGAAAAAUGGAGAGAAGAGAAGACUACAGUGAUGGGACCAGGAAACAGGAUAUCUGUGGUCAGAAGUUGCCUCUUAGGACUAAACCAGUGAAAGAUGGGAAAAUCCAUGAUGGAAGCUUGCUUGAACUCUGAAGAAACACUGGCUUCUUUGUAAUCCAAUUUCCAUAUUAAAUGACAGUCCAGCCAGUACCAUGAAAGUUGAAAAUCACCAUGACAAUGACAAGAAGAGACCAAAAAAGGGCAGAAAAGGGGCUCCUUGAUUCCAGGGAAAUCUUCAACCCUCCUUGAUUCCAGGAAAAUCUUUAUCCCUUCCUAAGAAAAGCGUAUACUUCAGAUGACAGCAUGUGAUGUGAUGGAAAUCUCUACUAUUCCCAGGAAAAAUGUCCUGUCAAAGUUAUCAGAUCCAUUGCCUAACAAACUUCUAUCCUAGCCAAUUGACCAACUGAAAGAUUUCUGUUGUAAAACAUAUUCUCCCUUAGAUUUUAUGGGUUGAUUUUCUUUUCUUUUUUUAUGUUUCUUCAAAACACACACAAAAAUCAUUUCUUGCCACCAAACAAAAUAGGAUUUAAUUUGAUUGAUCGGAACAGGAUACAAUUAAAGUGAGGAUAUCCAAUGACAAUUAUAGUCAGGUUGUUUGAACAGAUUUCCUGGUAUCUCUAAGAAUCCCUUAAUGAUUCACAAUUACAAAUUUAUGUUAAAUCCAGGUUUCUCAUUCUCUGGACUAACAGGUAAGAAACGAGACAUCAGUACUUUGCUGGUUUGAAGAUAUGAGGAGUUUAGUACUCUGAUUAUAGUACUCUACAAUAAGUUUGCCUAGUUCUUGAAAACAUUGAGCUGUCACUGCAAACGAGAAUUUUUCCUUUCCCCUGUAGUUUGAACAUAUGAUGCAAUCAGUCUUCUAAUUUUUGACAGAAGAGGAAAAGGAAGUGAUGUCAGCUAUUGACUGGAUUUCAUAGUUGUAAAGAUUAGACUAGGACUGGUUCCUGACUAAAAAAAUAUAGCAAAGAUUUCUAGUUUAAGAUGAUGGAUUAAGCACAUAUGGUUAUCAGAUAUUCCACUUAAGACUUCAGUGAAAUAAUGGUAAGGGAAAAAAUAAUAACAACAAAGAAAAAGGAGAGUGGUAAUGUUUCAAACAAUUAUUAUAAAAUAGAAUACAAAUAAUUUCUGACUUAAGAAGCUGAGGGAAAACACUUUAUCCAAGGAUACGUAAGAAGGGAGCUGCAGCCAAGAAAUAAAUCUAUUGCCUUCAGUACUGUAAAGAGGUUCAGACACAAGACACCUCAAGUAUUUCAGAGCCAGAGAAAGAGAACUGGAAUUGGGAGGAUUCAGGGCAGUACAGGUGAAAAGGCACUUUCCCAAACGUCAUCAACUUGUGACUACAUAAUACAACAAGGAGGCAUUUACUCCUCAGCAAAAGCAAUAUAAGGUUUUUUAAAUUUUUAUUUUAUUUUUUAUUUACAUAUAUUUAUUUAUUUACUUAUUUAUUUUCUUAAAGAAACACUGUCUAGAAACUCUGGGAAGAACAAGCACUAGCACACCAGAGCAAAGCCCAGCAGAUGCUGGCUCCUCAGGGCCACAGGGCACAUUUUCCAGUGCCCUGCCUACCAACAACAAGGUCAAGCCUUCAGGUCUACAACUCUUUCACUGAUAUAUGGAAUAAUAAAGGUGUUCAACUGACUCAUUUUAAGGUAUAGAAGUUUACCCAGGCAUUAGAAGAAAGUCUAAAACAUAAAUACCUUUAUUCAGAAGUAAUAAUUAAAUCCUAAUCAUGUGCCAGGCACUAUUCUAGGCACUAGAAAAAAAAACCAGCAGUGAACAGAAAACAGAUGAAAAUCUCUGAUCUCAUGAAGUUUGGUGGGAGAUAAAAUACAUAUAUACAUAUAUAUAGACAAUUUACAAAAUAGCAGAAUUUCAUAAGCAUUCUGGAGGAGAGUAAAAAACAAAAGAAGACAGUGAAGAAUGAGGAAUGUGGCAAUUUUAAGUGGUGUUGUCAUGGGAGUCCUCACUGAGAAGUGGUAUCUGUGCAAAGACCUGAAGGAGACAUAAAAGCCAAUCUCAGUAGAUAUUAAAAAACAAAAACAAAAAUAUGGAAGUAAGAGUAGUAAAGUAAAAAGCCCGAGGUCAGAUCAUACUUUAACAUUUAGUAAAAGCAUGGACGGUUGUGUGUCUUGGAUGCAAUUGCAUGUGCAGGCAAGUAUUAGAUGAGGUGCAAACGAAUAGAGUGAGGCUAGACUUCAAUAGGCCAUGUAAGUCAUUGUGAAGACUUUGGCUUUUUCACAUUCAAUAAAGUACACAAACUUUAAGUAUACAGCUCAAUGAAUAUUGACAAAUGAAUAGUCCUGUGUAACCGUGAGCCAGAUCAAGUUUAAGAACUUGCCUCUCAUCCCAGAAAGUUUCUUGUGCCUCUUUUGACUCAAUUCCCCCCAGCCAGGCAACCAAUACUAUAAUUUCUAUCACCACAGAUUAGUUAUUUAUGUUCUUGAACAUUCUGUACAUGUGUUCAUAGAGUAUAUACUUUCUGCUGUCUAGCUUCUUUAGCUUUACGUAGAAUGUGAGGGAUAGGUAUGAUUACAUUAGUCGCUCAUUUUCUUUUAUUGCCGAUAGUAUUCCAUUGUAUAAAUGUACAGAGUUUGCUCAUCUUUUGUACUGUUGAUAAACAUUUGGGGGCUACCAACGUUCUUGUUCACAAGUCUUUAACUGAAUGUCUUUCUCGUGGGUAAACACUUAGGAGUAGGAAUACUAGGACCUAGAGUGUUAACUAUAUUGGAAAUUAUUCAAAGGGUUUAGCAUUUUGCAGUCCUGCCAACAAUGUAUGAAGGUUCCAGUUGCUCUGCCUCCUCCUCAUUAUGCCAUAUUGUCAUUCUUCUCAUUUUUAUCCAUUUUCCUGAGAAUUAAUGAUGCUGAGCAUCUCUCUAUGGUUAGCACCCUAUGGUUAGCAUAUCUUGAUUGUGAAGUGUACUUUUCAUGAUAGUUUUCUCUCAUGUUUAAUUAGAGUGUCUGAUUUUAUUUAUUGAUUUGUGUAGAUUGUUUUUAUUCUGAUAUUAGUCCCUUUUUGGAUAUAUGUAUUGCAAGUAAUUUUCUCCCAAUCUGUAGCAUGUGCUUUCACUUUCUUAAUAGGCUCUUUGGGUUUGUUUUGAUGUUGAUGAGAGUUUUAUUAUGGAUAGGUUUUGUUUGUCAAAUUUUGUUUCUCUACUUAUUAAAAUAA
RNAcentral lists this long non-coding RNA (3355 nucleotides) under Homo sapiens (human). RNAcentral's name for it is "long independently transcribed non-coding RNA 2238 (LINC02238)". The record is from RNAcentral. Lineage: Eukaryota; Metazoa; Chordata; Mammalia; Primates; Hominidae.